GACGAACGCUGGCGGCGUGCCUAAUACAUGCAAGUCGAGCGCAGGAAAUCGACGGAACCCUUCGGGGGGAAGUCGAUGGAAUGAGCGGCGGACGGGUGAGUAACACGUAAAGAACCUGCCCUCAGGUCUGGGAUAACCACGAGAAAUCGGGGCUAAUACCGGAUGGGUCAUCGGACCGCAUGGUCCGAGGAUGAAAGGCGCUUCGGCGUCGCCUGGGGAUGGCUUUGGGGUGCAUUAGCGAGUUGGUGGGGUAAUGGGCCACCAAGGCGACGAUGAGUAGCCGACCUGAGGGGGGGAUGGGCCACACUGGGACUGAGGCACGGCCGAGACUCCUACGGGAGGCAGCAGUAGGGAAUCUUCCACAAUGGAGGAAAGUCUGAUGGAGCAACGCCGGGUGAACGAUGAAGGCCUUCGGGUCGUAAAGUUCUGUUGUAAGGGAAGAACAAGUGCCGCAGGCAAUGGCGGCACCUUGACGGUACCUUGCGAGAAAGCCACGGCUAACUACGUGCCAGCAGCCGCGGUAA
RNAcentral lists this ribosomal RNA (524 nucleotides) under uncultured bacterium. RNAcentral's name for it is "partial 16S ribosomal RNA". It matches the Rfam family "Bacterial small subunit ribosomal RNA", at positions 28 to 523 of the family's 1533-position model. The record is from RNAcentral.